GUGUACGCUUGAGCAGCACAUACACUAAAAUUGGAACAAUGCAGAGAAGAUGAGCACGGCCCCUGCACAGGAUAUCAUACAAAUUCAUGAAGCAUUCCAUCUUUUU
Small nuclear RNA from Colobus angolensis palliatus, 106 nucleotides. Lineage: Eukaryota; Metazoa; Chordata; Mammalia; Primates; Cercopithecidae. The record is from Ensembl.